GAUGAACGCUAGCGAUAGGCCUAACACAUGCAAGUCGAGGGGUAACAAGAUGUAGCAAUACAUUGUUGACGACCGGCGCACGGGUGAGUAACACGUAUGCAACCUACCUACAACAGGGGAAUAACCCGGCGAAAGUCGGACUAAUACUCCAUAACACAGGGAUACCGCAUGGUAAUAUUUGUUAAAGAUUUAUCGGUUGUAGAUGGGCAUGCGCUCCAUUAGCCAGUUGGUGAGGUAACGGCUCACCAAAGCAACGAUGGAUAGGGGAACUGAGAGGUUUAUCCCCCACACUGGAACUGAGACACGGACCAGACUCCUACGGGAGGCAGCAGUGAGGAAUAUUGGUCAAUGGGCGCGAGCCUGAACCAGCCAAAUCGCGUGAAGGAUGACUGCCCUAUGGGUUGUAAACUUCUUUUAUACAGGAAUAAAGUUGCUUACGUGUAGGCAUUUGUAUGUACUGUAUGAAUAAGCAUCGGCUAACUCCGUGCCAGCCGCCGCCGUAACAC
This 506-nucleotide ribosomal RNA is filed under the name uncultured bacterium. Its description in RNAcentral is "bacterial SSU rRNA". It matches the Rfam family "Bacterial small subunit ribosomal RNA", at positions 28 to 526 of the family's 1533-position model. The record is from RNAcentral.